Molecule: ribosomal RNA, 485 nt
Filed under: uncultured bacterium
Lineage: Bacteria
Description: partial 16S ribosomal RNA
Rfam family: Bacterial small subunit ribosomal RNA
Source: RNAcentral
GACGAACGCUGGCGGCGUGCUUAACACAUGCAAGUCGAACGGUGAAAGCGGAGCUUGCUCCGCUGGAUCAGUGGCGAACGGGUGAGUAACACGUGGGCAACCUGCCCCUCACUUCGGGAUAACUCCGGGAAACCGGGGAUAAUACCGGAUAUGACCUCCUUGGGCAUCCUUGGAGGUGGAAAGUUUUUCGGUGAGGGAUGGGCCCGCGGGCUAUCAGCUUGUUGGUGAGGUAGUGGCUCACCAAGGCGACGACGGGUAGCCGGCCCGAGAGGGCGACCGGCCACACUGGGACUGAGACACGGCCCAGACUCCUACGGGAGGCAGCAGUGGGGAAUAUUGCGCAAUGGGCGAAAGCCUGACGCAGCAACGCCGCGUGCGGGAUGACGGCCUUCGGGUUGUAAACCGCUUUCAGCAGGGAAGAAGCCGCAAGGUGACGGUACCUGCAGAAGAAGCACCGGCUAACUACGUGCCAGCAGCCGCCGUAA